RNAcentral lists this ribosomal RNA (508 nucleotides) under uncultured bacterium. Its description in RNAcentral is "partial 16S ribosomal RNA". It matches the Rfam family "Bacterial small subunit ribosomal RNA", at positions 28 to 523 of the family's 1533-position model. The record is from RNAcentral.
GAUGAACGCUAGCUACAGGCUUAACACAUGCAAGUCGAGGGGAAACGAUAUUGGAAGCUUGCUUCCGAUAGGCGUCGACCGGCGCACGGGUGAGUAACGCGUAUCCAACCUGCCCACCACUUGGGGAUAACCUUGCGAAAGUAAGACUAAUACCCAAUGAUAUCUCUAGAAGACAUCUGAAGGAGAUUAAAGAUUCAUCGGUGAUGGAUGGGGAUGCGUCUGAUUAGCUUGUUGGCGGGGUAACGGCCCACCAAGGCGACGAUCAGUAGGGGUUCUGAGAGGAAGGGCCCCCACAUUGGAACUGAGACACGGUCCAAACUCCUACGGGAGGCAGCAUUGAGGAAUAUUGGUCAAUGGGCGAGAGCCUGAACCAGCCAAGUAGCGUGCAGGAUGACGGCCCUAUGGGUUGUAAACUGCUUUUAUAAGGGAAUAAAGUGAGUCUCGUGAGACUUUUUGCACGUACCUUAUGAAUAAGGACCGGCUAAUUCCGUGCCAGCCGCCGCAGUAA